Molecule: ribosomal RNA, 700 nt
Filed under: Acinetobacter sp.
Lineage: Bacteria; Pseudomonadati; Pseudomonadota; Gammaproteobacteria; Moraxellales; Moraxellaceae
Description: bacterial SSU rRNA
Rfam family: Bacterial small subunit ribosomal RNA
Source: RNAcentral
UUACACAUGCAGUCGAGCGGAUGUGAUGUAGCUUGCUCCUUUACCUAGCGGCGGACGGGUGAGUAAUGCUUAGGAAUCUGCCUGUUAGUGGGGGACAACAUUCCGAAAGGAAUGCUAAUACCGCAUACGCCCUACGGGGGAAAGCAGGGGAUCUUCGGACCUUGCGCUAAUAGAUGAGCCUAAGUCGGAUUAGCUAGUUGGUGGGGUAAAGGCCUACCAAGGCGACGAUCCGUAGCGGGUCUGAGAGGAUGAUCCGUCACACUGGAACUGAGACACGGCCCAGACUCCUACGGGAGGCAGCAGUGGGGAAUAUUGGACAAUGGGCGAAAGCCUGAUCCAGCCAUGCCGCGUGUGUGAAGAAGGUCUUUUGGUUGUAAAGCACUUUAAGCGAGGAGGAGGCUACUUGGAUUAAUACUCUGCGAUAGUGGACGUUACUCGCAAAAUAAGCACCGGCUAAUUCUGUGCCAGCAGCCGCGGUAAUACAAAGGGUGCGAGCGUUAAUCGGAUUUACUGGGCGUAAAGCGUGCGUAGGCGGCUUCUUAAGUCGGAUGUGAAAUCCCUGAGCUUAACUUAGGACUUGCAUUCGAUACUGGGAAGCUAGAGUAUGGGAGAGGAUGGGUAGAAUUCCAGGUGUAGCGGUGAAAUGCGUAAAGAUCUGGAGGAAUACCGAUGGCGAAGGCAGCCAUCUGGGCUGAAUACU